UGAUAGUAGCAGUUAUUUUCCGCAAUUAUUCAUAUUAUUACCUGUUACUUUAUAUUGCUCAGUAUUUACUAUUUUGUCUCUUAUGAACCUAGUGGUAUAGACCGUCGGCAUUGACGAUCAUACCCACUGGGAACUAUUGAUUAUAGUUCGCAUACCCUCUUAUUUAAUAUUUUAUUUCAGAGCAUUCAGCAUCAGCAACUGAUCGAGGUAAAGGAAUCGCGAAUAGUUAGCAUCUCCUACCCUUCUUGUGUGUGUAGUUGGACCACCUAGUAGUGAGCAGCCUGUACAGUAUUCUGAUACUUGGAGUGGUCAGAGAUGUUGUACCAUUUUGAAGACUGGUCAAUUGAUGAUUGUAAAUCGUUACUGUUUUGUUAUAGUAUAUAGUUUUAUUUUUUCUCUGAUACCUAUUGUUGUUAGAUUUUAGUUAAUUUAGGAUUUUGUUGACGCUUCGUAUAUAUAUGGUGUAUUCUUGUGCAUGCGGCGGGUCUGUUGACGUAAUCCAGACUUU
RNAcentral lists this long non-coding RNA (508 nucleotides) under Ananas comosus (pineapple). Its description in RNAcentral is "long non-coding RNA (ACOM_LNC003473)". Lineage: Eukaryota; Viridiplantae; Streptophyta; Magnoliopsida; Poales; Bromeliaceae. The record is from RNAcentral.